AUUGAACGCUGGCGGCAUGCCUUACACAUGCAAGUCGAACGGCAGCGCGGGGCAACCUGGCGGCGAGUGGCGAACGGGUGAGUAAUAUAUCGGAACAUACCCUAGAGUGGGGGAUAACGUAGCGAAAGUUACGCUAAUACCGCAUACGCACUAAGGUGGAAAGUGGGGGAUUCGCAAGAACCUCAUGCUCAUGGAGUGGCCGAUAUCUGAUUAGCUAGUUGGUGAGGUAAAGGCUCACCAAGGCGACGAUCAGUAGCUGGUUUGAGAGAACGACCAGCCACACUGGAACUGAGACACGGUCCAGACUCCUACGGAGGCAGCAGUGGGAAUUUUGGAC
This 337-nucleotide ribosomal RNA is filed under the name uncultured bacterium. RNAcentral describes it as "bacterial SSU rRNA". It matches the Rfam family "Bacterial small subunit ribosomal RNA", at positions 30 to 369 of the family's 1533-position model. The record is from RNAcentral.